RNAcentral lists this ribosomal RNA (344 nucleotides) under uncultured bacterium. RNAcentral's name for it is "bacterial SSU rRNA". It matches the Rfam family "Bacterial small subunit ribosomal RNA", at positions 30 to 402 of the family's 1533-position model. The record is from RNAcentral.
CGAAUGCUGGCGGCAGGCCUAACACAUGCAAGUCGAACGGGAUCUUCGGAUCUAGUGGCGGACGGGUGAGUAACGCGUGGGAACGUGCCCUUUGGUUCGGAAUAGCCCUGGGAAACUGGGAGUAAUACCGGAUGAGCCCUUCGGGGGAAAGAUUUAUCGCCAAAGGAUCGGCCCGCGUUGGAUUAGGUAGUUGGUGGGGUAAUGGCCUACCAAGCCGACGAUCCAUAGCUGGUUUGAGAGGAUGAUCAGCCACACUGGAACUGAGACACGGUCCAAACUCCUACGGGAGGCAGCAGUGGGGAAUAUUGGACAAUGGGCGCAAGCCUGAUCCAGCCAUGCCGCGU